This 459-nucleotide ribosomal RNA is filed under the name uncultured bacterium. Its description in RNAcentral is "bacterial SSU rRNA". It matches the Rfam family "Bacterial small subunit ribosomal RNA", at positions 29 to 507 of the family's 1533-position model. The record is from RNAcentral.
GUAGACCUUGGCGGCUAGCCUAAUACAUGCAAGUCGAACGGAGACGGUAGCAAUACGGUCUCAGUGGCGAACGGGUGAGUAACGCGUUGGUGACCUGCCCCGAAGUGUGGAAUAACAGAUCGAAAGAGCUGCUAAUACCGCAUAAUAUCCAGAGGAUUAGAUGCCUUUGGAUUAAAGGAUUUAUUCGCUUCGGGAGGGGCCUGCGUCCCAUCAGCUAGUUGGUAAGGUAAUGGCUUACCAAGGCGAUGACGGGUAGGGGACCUGAGAGGGUGGCCCCCCACAAUGGAACUGAAACACGGUCCAUACACCUACGGGUGGCAGCAGUAGGGAAUAUUAGUAAUGGGCGAAAGCCUGAACUAGCAACGCCGCGUGUGCGAAGAAGGCCUUCGGGUUGUAAAGCACUUUUUGAGAGGAUGAGGAAGGACGGUACUCUCAGAAUAAGUCUCGGCUAACUACGUG